UACGUAGGGUGCAAGCGUGUCCGGAAUUAUUGGGCGUAAAGAGCUCGUAGGCGGUCUGUCGCGUCUGGUGUGAAAAUCCAGGGCUUAACCCUGGACCUGCAUCGGGUACGGGCAGACUAGAGUGCGGUAGGGGAGAUCGGAAUUCCUGGUGUAGCGGUGAAAUGCGUAGAUAUCAGGAGGAACACCGGUGGUGUAAACGGCUUUCGUGGACCAUAACUGACGCUGAGGCACGAAAGCGUGGGUAGCAAACAGG
Molecule: ribosomal RNA, 253 nt
Filed under: uncultured bacterium
Lineage: Bacteria
Description: partial 16S ribosomal RNA
Rfam family: Bacterial small subunit ribosomal RNA
Source: RNAcentral